AGAGUUUGAUCAUGGCUCAGAUUGAACGCUGGCGGCAGGCUUAACACAUGCAAGUCGAGCGGUAACAGGGGGAGCUUGCUUCCCGCUGACGAGCGGCGGACGGGUGAGUAAUGCUUAGGAAUCUGCCCAGUAGUGGGGGAUAGCCCGGGGAAACCCGGAUUAAUACCGCAUACGUCCUACGGGAGAAAGCAGGGGAUCUUCGGACCUUGCGCUAUUGGAUGAGCCUAAGUCGGAUUAGCUAGUUGGUGGGGUAAAGGCCUACCAAGGCGACGAUCCGUAGCUGGUCUGAGAGGAUGAUCAGCCACAUCGGGACUGAGACACGGCCCGAACUCCUACGGGAGGCAGCAGUGGGGAAUAUUGGACAAUGGGGGCAACCCUGAUCCAGCCAUGCCGCGUGUGUGAAGAAGGCUUUCGGGUUGUAAAGCACUUUCAGUAGGGAGGAAAACCUUAUGGCUAAUACCCAUGAGGCUUGACGUUACCUACAGAAGAAGCACCGGCUAACUCCGUGCCAGCAGCCGCGGUAAUACGGAGGGUGCAAGCGUUAAUCGGAAUUACUGGGCGUAAAGCGCGCGUAGGUGGUUUGGUAAGCGAGAUGUGAAAGCCCCGGGCUUAACCUGGGAACGGCAUUUCGAACUGUCAGACUAGAGUGUGGUAGAGGGUAGUGGAAUUUCCUGUGUAGCGGUGAAAUGCGUAGAUAUAGGAAGGAACACCAGUGGCGAAGGCGGCUACCUGGACCAACACUGACACUGAG
Molecule: ribosomal RNA, 751 nt
Filed under: uncultured bacterium
Lineage: Bacteria
Description: bacterial SSU rRNA
Rfam family: Bacterial small subunit ribosomal RNA
Source: RNAcentral